Molecule: long non-coding RNA, 397 nt
Filed under: Mytilus galloprovincialis (Mediterranean mussel)
Lineage: Eukaryota; Metazoa; Mollusca; Bivalvia; Mytilida; Mytilidae
Source: RNAcentral
GUUACCAAGGCCCAUAUUGAUAACUACAGAAUAUUGUCAAUACAUUUAGUGUAUAUUGAAGAAAUGAGGUUUGAUGAAGUCUACGAACAAGAUGCAUAUACUAAAGAUAUUCGAAAGUUAGAAAACAAACUCUUUGGAGUAUUAUGCCUAAUAAAUGAAGACAUCAAUAAUUCAAGGGUUGUUAUUAACCAUAUAUCACGUGACGCCAUGGAUACGGGCUUGCGCACUCCUUCUAUAAGGAUGGAUCGUUUUGUCCGAGAUUAUGUGACUGUUAAAGAAACUACCAAGCUUUUAGACAAUUUUAUCAUUUUGUACAGAGAAAUUAAAGACAAUUUGAGUAACAGGAAAUAAAAGCAGCGCAUCGUACGUGUAUCUAUAAUCGUUACCCGGUGUUUAU